Molecule: long non-coding RNA, 362 nt
Organism: Bactrocera neohumeralis
Lineage: Eukaryota; Metazoa; Arthropoda; Insecta; Diptera; Tephritidae
Exons: 3
Source: RefSeq, a predicted model, not a curated record
CGGAAGAGCACGUGCGCUUCGUGGAAGACAAACUUUCACAAAAGAAAAGCACGGAUGCUAUGAUGCGGCUAAUAAUGAAGUCAAAGGGCGCAAAAGGCAGUGUGGACGGCGUACUGCGUGGUAUGUUUUCUGACGAUCUAAUGUACCACUACAAUUUAGAGGGCGCAAGGAGAAGGAAUCCCUAUUAAAGCUAAAGUGCGUAGGGUUAGUUUUUGAUAUAUUUCCUGACAAGGAUAAAAACACUAUCUGAGGGAGCUCGGGAAAUUUGUGGCCUUAAGCCACAAUCGUUUUAAGCAAAAAAAGCAUAAACUUAAGGCAAAAUUAAUAUAAGUUUUCUUAUUAUUACUUACAUAUAUUAGUUU